RNAcentral lists this microRNA (22 nucleotides) under Pteropus alecto (black flying fox). Its description in RNAcentral is "pal-miR-139-5p". Its record names the gene pal-miR-139-5p. The record is from miRBase by way of RNAcentral. RNAcentral also lists the same sequence under 9 other names. Lineage: Eukaryota; Metazoa; Chordata; Mammalia; Chiroptera; Pteropodidae.
UCUACAGUGCACGUGUCUCCAG